UACAGAGGGUGCGAGCGUUGUCCGGAAUCACUGGGCGUAAAGGGCGCGUAGGCGGCCGAUCAAGUGUGUGGUGAAAGCCCGGGGCUCAACCCCGGGUCUGCCGUGCAAACUGGUUGGCUUGAGCACUGUAGAGGCAGGUGGAAUUCCGGGUGUAGCGGUGGAAUGCGUAGAGAUCCGGAAGAACACCAGUGGCGAAGGCGGCCUGCUGGGCAGUAGCUGACGCUGAGGCGCGACAGCGUGGGGAGCAAACAGG
RNAcentral lists this ribosomal RNA (253 nucleotides) under uncultured bacterium. Its description in RNAcentral is "partial 16S ribosomal RNA". It matches the Rfam family "Bacterial small subunit ribosomal RNA", at positions 524 to 776 of the family's 1533-position model. The record is from RNAcentral.